GAUGAAGAACGCAGCGAAAUGCGAUACGUAGUGUGAAUUGCAGAAUUCCGUGAACCAUCGAAUCUUUGAACGCAAAUUGCGCUCGAGGCCUCGGCCAAGAGCAUGUCUGCCUCAGCGUCGGCUACUACCCUCAACUAAGUUUCCUAUACACAUAGGGGAUGCCGGUUGGAUCUGGCCGUCCGGUUUGCCUUUUAGGUUGCCGGUCAGCUGAAAUACAUUCACGCUCUGGGGGCUGCUUUCCUUCCGAGGAGAGGCGAGUUCCGAUUUGGUAGGUGACCUUUGCCGGUUGCAUGCCUUCGUUGCCCGCUAAGCUUUCCAGUAUGCGUUGUGCAGGACGCCUUUUGGCUUUCGACCUGAGGUCAGGCAAGAACACCCGCUGAACUUAAGCAUAUCAAUAAGCGGGAGGA
Molecule: unclassified non-coding RNA, 407 nt
Filed under: soil metagenome
Description: partial contains 5.8S ribosomal RNA, internal transcribed spacer 2, and large subunit ribosomal RNA
Rfam family: 5.8S ribosomal RNA (bases 1-120)
Source: RNAcentral